ACGGAAGGCAGCAGUGGGGAAUAUUGCACAAUGGGGGAAACUCUGACGCAGUGACGCCGCGUAUAGGAAGAAGGUUUUCGGAUUGUAAACUAUUGUCGUUAGGGAAGAGAAAGGACAGUACCUAAGGAGGAAGCUCCGGCUAACUACGUGCCAGCAGCCGCGGUAAUACGUAGGGAGCGAGCGUUAUCCGGAUUUAUUGGGUGUAAAGGGUGCGUAGAUGGGUAAUCAAGUUAGUUGUGAAAUCCCUCGGCUUAACUGAGGAACUGCAACUAAAACUGAAUAUCUUGAGUGCAGGAGAGGUAAGUGGAAUUCCUAGUGUAGCGGUGAAAUGCGUAGAUAUUAGGAGGAACACCAGUGGCGAAGGCGACUUACUGGACUGUAACUGACGUUGAGGCACGAAAGUGUGGGGAGCAAACAGGAUUAGAUACCCUGGUA
Molecule: ribosomal RNA, 435 nt
Filed under: uncultured Oscillospiraceae bacterium
Lineage: Bacteria; Bacillati; Bacillota; Clostridia; Eubacteriales; Oscillospiraceae
Description: bacterial SSU rRNA
Rfam family: Bacterial small subunit ribosomal RNA
Source: RNAcentral